This 1868-nucleotide unclassified non-coding RNA is filed under the name Haliotis rubra (blacklip abalone). RNAcentral's name for it is "tRNA dimethylallyltransferase-like, transcript variant X3". The record is from RNAcentral. Lineage: Eukaryota; Metazoa; Mollusca; Gastropoda; Lepetellida; Haliotidae.
AUGUCCCUUGAAUGGAAAGAUGAUGGCCGCGAUGCGCCGACUACCGGUUGUUGUGGUUUUGGGAGCAACAGGCACCGGUAAAUCGAAGCUUGCAAUCGAACUUGGACAGAAAUUCAAUGGAGAAAUAAUCAGUGCUGAUUCAAUGCAGAUAUAUGAAGGUCUAAACAUCAUCACAAACAAAGUGACUUCAGCUGAACAACUCCAGUGUAGGCACCACCUCAUCGGCUAUGUCAACCCCUUCACCAACACAUCAAAUACUGUUGUCAACUUCAGAGACAAAGCUCUUCCUAUUAUAGAGAGGGUGUUUGCAGAGGGGAGACUUCCCAUCAUUGUGGGCGGCACCAACUACUACAUUGAGAGUCUGCUGUGGAAGUUCCUUGUUGAUCCACAGGUCCAUGAUAAAGGUCCUGAUGCAAAGAAACUGAGAAUGUCCGACUCCUGUCCAGUCACACAUGAAAGUGAGCGUCCACUGCCUCCAGGAGGUGGUACGUCUGCUCCAGGACAUCCGGCCACUAUUGAUGUCUCGUCCACAGGAUCUGAUGCUGCUCCUGUGGCUGAUGCAUCUUUUGAAGGGGAGGCAGCUCUGGAAGACACAGGGGAAGCAACUCUGGACAGAGGGAAGGUUGCUCAGGAAUGCUGUAAAACAGCAGCAAGUGACCGAGGAGCAGAUCGAGAAGGGAAAUUCAAAGAUAUUGACAGUUCUGAGCUUCACAGACAAUUGACAUUAGUGGAUCCUGUGACUGCGAAAAAGAUUCAUCCACAUAAUCGCAGGAAGAUUAUCAGAGCGCUGGAAGUGUACAGCCAACAUGGAGUUCCGCUCAGCGACAUCCUCAAGUCCCAGCAUGCAUCAGCAGGAGGCACAGACGCUCUCAGUGGACCAGUGAGAUAUGACAAGACUUGCAUCUUUUGGAUACAGUGUGAUCAGACAGUGCUGGACGCCCGUCUGGACGCCCGUGUGGACACCAUGAUGGAGCAUGGUCUUCUUCAGGAACUCCACGACUUCCACAGAGAAUACAGACAGAAGAUGCAAGGAGACUGUGAUUACACUCUCGGAAUUUUUCAAAGUAUUGGCUUUAAGGAAUUUCACAAUUACUUGUUGCUGCCAGAGCCUGAGAGCGACACAGUCAAAGGGAGACAACUGAGGGAUGAAGGUGUGGAGCUGCUGAAGUUGGCAACUCGCCAGUAUGCUAAACGGCAGAUCAAGUGGAUUCGGAACAGAUUCUUGAAACGCCCAGGACCUGGUGUGGUGCCAGUGUAUGGCGUCGACUCUACGGAUGUCAGUCUCUGGGCAGACAAUGUCUUGAAGCCUGCCUGUGACAUACUCUCUGCUAUAUUACAGGGGGAGAAUCCCGCCGUCCUGCCCCUGGAGGCUGGUGGUGCUCUGACAGAACAUGUCUACAACGUAUGUGACGUGUGUGCAGGACGGGUGUUUACCACUUUGCAGGAGUGGAACGCCCACACAAACAGUCGGAGACACAAGAGGGCACUCAGUAAACAGAGGAAACAGCUACGAAAGGCCGCCGUGCUCCACAGUGAUGAAGCUUGAGAGUCAAGAGAUUGAGGCAGGGGAAACGUCAUCACAUCCUGGGAGUGAGUGAAAGAGGGACAUCUUCACACUUCGUCACACGGCUUCCUGGGAGGGAGUGAAAUGGCUGUCUUCACACCGAGUCAGCAAGUCUGUCUUGGACGAGCAUCUUGGGAGGGAGUGAAAGAGAGACAUCUUCACACAAUGUCAGCAAGUCUGUCUUGUCUUCUCACAACUAUUGGAUAUGUUGGCAGUGAAGAGGACAUCUGUUGAAAAUGUGUAAAGUUUAUGGUGUGAAUUUAUGGCUAUGAUGUAGAGGUAGUGUUCUCAGAAUUAAGCAAAA